Molecule: ribosomal RNA, 253 nt
Filed under: uncultured bacterium
Lineage: Bacteria
Description: partial 16S ribosomal RNA
Rfam family: Bacterial small subunit ribosomal RNA
Source: RNAcentral
UACGGAGGGAGCUAGCGUUGUUCGGAAUUACUGGGCGUAAAGCGCACGUAGGCGGCUUUGUAAGUUAGAGGUGAAAGCCCGGGGCUCAACCCCGGAAUUGCCUUUAAGACUGCAUCGCUUGAAUCCGGGAGAGGUGAGUGGAAUUCCGAGUGUAGAGGUGAAAUUCGUAGAUAUUCGGAAGAACACCAGUGGCGAAGGCGGCUCACUGGACCGGCAUUGACGCUGAGGUGCGGAAGCGUGGGGAGCAAACAGG